RNAcentral lists this unclassified non-coding RNA (1201 nucleotides) under Pogonomyrmex barbatus (red harvester ant). RNAcentral describes it as "uncharacterized LOC105425186, transcript variant X3". Lineage: Eukaryota; Metazoa; Arthropoda; Insecta; Hymenoptera; Formicidae. The record is from RNAcentral.
GGAUCGGAUAAGACAAAGAGCGACGAGAGGGAGAGGGAAAUAGAAGUAAAAAUAGAAGUAAAACGCGAAGGAAAUUCGCUACACGUGUUCGUCGUUCGUUUUCCAUGGAACGCAAAGGAAAGAAGUAACAAAAGAGCGGAGGUUCAGCGAAGAGGAGAUACCGUGAGCCAAUCGAGCCAAUCGAGAUAAAAUGGUGGCACGGUAAACGAAAGAAAGUGAUUAGACGCAUCGUGUGUGACAGUAUAUCGCUGUGUGCCUCGCACAAGUUCCGAUCACAUGGAUCACGUGGUAGUCAGUCCGUGCCCCUUCUCCUCCUGACCGCAAAGGUUCUAUCGGUGGGCGGUGGGGAUGUCAACUGUGACGGGGAGGGAUGUAGAAAAGGAGAAGUGGUAGAUACGAUUUCUAGGAUAGAAGAAGAGAAGAGGAUGAGAAAAACAGAGAAAAGUCAAAGAGGAUAUUACUUCGACAUUGAUGACAAUCAGGGCAAUGGACGCGUGAUGCCGCGUCUGACCGCAAGCUCGUUACGCCUGUCGGAAGUAUAAAUCAACCGCAAAGUUAUUCCACCAUGCUGUCGAGAACUCCCCGUAGGGCGCCUCUCGCUGGAAACUGCUACCACUUUCUUGUCCUCCACCUUGUUGAUAUCGUUCGCGCAGAAAAUGAUCAUCUUUCGCUUAAGAUAAAGUGAUAGGAUGACAAGGAUAUUUAUACCGACGUGCUCAUUCAUUUCGUCAGUCGGGAAUGUGACGGACCGCACCCGCGGUGAACUCUCAGCGUCAAUGAACCGUCACGAAUUUGCUGUAGCUGCCAAUCUACCGUGACUUAACGAGAUCGGCGCACCCGCGAGUCAACAUCUCUCCACCGGGAGAUCAUCGUGUUUUCGUUAGGAACGAGAUCGCCCUUUGUCGAUGUCUCGUAAGCCUAUCCAGCCUCCUCUUCCAGCUUCCAUCUCCCGCGCGACUCCAUCUUCCAGACGUCAUCGUUGCCGACAUCCCGUUGUAGUCCGCGGAUGGACAGCGAUCGAAAUUAGGAAGAUAGCAACUAAGAAAUGGAGAAAGGCCAAAAAGGCAAUAAUCAGUAAGGCAACUGCAAGAGGAUACUCUUAACUUCGAGAAACGAAUUUAUUCUUCGCGCAAUUUCCGUUCCACGAGUUUAGUAAAGUAUCUUACGCUUCGUUCGAACAAUAAAUAAAUAUUCCAACUCA